UACGGGGGGGGCAAGCGUUGUUCGGAAUUACUGGGCGUAAAGGGCGCGUAGGCGGCCAAUUAAGUCAGACGUGAAAUCCCUAGGCUCAACCUAGGAACUGCGUCUGAUACUGGAUGGCUUGAGUGUGGGAGAGGGAUGCGGAAUUCCAGGUGUAGCGGUGAAAUGCGUAGAUAUCUGGAGGAACACCGGUGGCGAAGGCGGCGUUCUGGACUGCAACUGACACUGAGGAACGAAAGCCAGGGGAGCAAACGGG
RNAcentral lists this ribosomal RNA (253 nucleotides) under uncultured bacterium. RNAcentral's name for it is "partial 16S ribosomal RNA". It matches the Rfam family "Bacterial small subunit ribosomal RNA", at positions 524 to 776 of the family's 1533-position model. The record is from RNAcentral.